AUUUAAAUCCAACCUCUUUUGCGUUGUAGGUUGCCCAAAUUCCGGUGGGAUGUUAUUUGGCUUCCUUUUGGUCCAUUGAGUGGAGCCGGGCUGUGUCUCUAUCUGGAUGCACUAUUUAACGAAUCAUCCGAGGAGGUUAAAAAACUUCAAAGCUACAUGUACACUUACAAGGCCCGAUGACCCGUGUUUCAAUUGCGAAUGAUAUGAUUCACAAUUUGCACGAUCGCGAUGUAUUGUGCCGGAUUUUUACGACUUGUGUAUGAUCAAAAGCAUAGCUUCAUGUAA
This is a long non-coding RNA of Helianthus annuus (common sunflower), 285 nucleotides long. RefSeq lists it as uncharacterized. Lineage: Eukaryota; Viridiplantae; Streptophyta; Magnoliopsida; Asterales; Asteraceae. The record is from RefSeq and is a predicted model, not a curated record. The transcript has 2 exons.